RNAcentral lists this ribosomal RNA (482 nucleotides) under Curtobacterium sp. EA_L_40. RNAcentral describes it as "bacterial SSU rRNA". It matches the Rfam family "Bacterial small subunit ribosomal RNA", at positions 37 to 526 of the family's 1533-position model. Lineage: Bacteria; Bacillati; Actinomycetota; Actinomycetes; Micrococcales; Microbacteriaceae. The record is from RNAcentral.
GGGGAAUGCCGGCGUGCUUACACAUGCAAGUCGAACGAUGAUGCCCAGCUUGCUGGGUGGAUUAGUGGCGAACGGGUGAGUAACACGUGAGUAACCUGCCCCUGACUCUGGGAUAAGCGUUGGAAACGACGUCUAAUACUGGAUAUGAUCACUGGCCGCAUGGUCUGGUGGUGGAAAGAUUUUUUGGUUGGGGAUGGACUCGCGGCCUAUCAGCUUGUUGGUGAGGUAAUGGCUCACCAAGGCGACGACGGGUAGCCGGCCUGAGAGGGUGACCGGCCACACUGGGACUGAGACACGGCCCAGACUCCUACGGGAGGCAGCAGUGGGGAAUAUUGCACAAUGGGCGAAAGCCUGAUGCAGCAACGCCGCGUGAGGGAUGACGGCCUUCGGGUUGUAAACCUCUUUUAGUAGGGAAGAAGCGAAAGUGACGGUACCUGCAGAAAAAGCACCGGCUAAUUACGUGCCACCAGCCGCGGUAAUAC